UUUAUGGAGAGUUUGAUCCUGGCUCAGGAUGAACGCUGGCGGCGUGCCUAAUACAUGCAAGUCGAGCGAACGGACGAGAAGCUUGCUUCUCUGAUGUUAGCGGCGGACGGGUGAGUAACACGUGGAUAACCUACCUAUAAGACUGGGAUAACUUCGGGAAACCGGAGCUAAUACCGGAUAAUAUUUUGAACCGCAUGGUUCAAAAGUGAAAGACGGUCUUGCUGUCACUUAUAGAUGGAUCCGCGCUGCAU
RNAcentral lists this ribosomal RNA (251 nucleotides) under Staphylococcus aureus. Its description in RNAcentral is "partial 16S ribosomal RNA". It matches the Rfam family "Bacterial small subunit ribosomal RNA", at positions 1 to 241 of the family's 1533-position model. Lineage: Bacteria; Bacillati; Bacillota; Bacilli; Caryophanales; Staphylococcaceae. The record is from RNAcentral.